This 982-nucleotide ribosomal RNA is filed under the name Planococcus sp. (in: firmicutes). RNAcentral describes it as "bacterial SSU rRNA". It matches the Rfam family "Bacterial small subunit ribosomal RNA", at positions 94 to 1060 of the family's 1533-position model. Lineage: Bacteria; Bacillati; Bacillota; Bacilli; Caryophanales; Caryophanaceae. The record is from RNAcentral.
AGCGGCGGACGGGUGAGUAACACGUGGGCAACCUGCCCUGCAGAUCGGGAUAACUCCGGGAAACCGGUGCUAAUACCGAAUAGUUUGCGGCCUCUCAUGAGGCUGUACGGAAAGACGGUUUCGGCUGUCACUGCAGGAUGGGCCCGCGGCGCAUUAGCUAGUUGGUGAGGUAACGGCUCACCAAGGCCACGAUGCGUAGCCGACCUGAGAGGGUGAUCGGCCACACUGGGACUGAGACACGGCCCAGACUCCUACGGGAGGCAGCAGUAGGGAAUCUUCCGCAAUGGACGAAAGUCUGACGGAGCAACGCCGCGUGAGUGAAGAAGGUUUUCGGAUCGUAAAACUCUGUUGUGAGGGAAGAACAAGUACCAAUUAACUACUGGUACCUUGACGGUACCUCACCAGAAAGCCACGGCUAACUACGUGCCAGCAGCCGCGGUAAUACGUAGGUGGCAAGCGUUGUCCGGAAUUAUUGGGCGUAAAGCGCGCGCAGGCGGUCCUUUAAGUCUGAUGUGAAAGCCCACGGCUCAACCGUGGAGGGUCAUUGGAAACUGGGGGGACUUGAGUGCACAAGAGGAAAGUGGAAUUCCACGUGUAGCGGUGAAAUGCGUAGAGAUGUGCAGGAACACCAGUGGCGAACGCGACUUUCUGGGCUGUAACUGACGCUGACGCGCGGAAGUCGUGGGCGAGCAAACAUGACUACAUACCCUGGUAGUCCACGCCGUACACGAUCAGUGCUAAGUGUGAUGCGGGUUUCCGCCCCCUUAUUGCUGCCAGCUACGCGAUUAAACACUCCUUCCUCGCGGAGUACAGCGGCACGCUGAAUAUCAAACGACCUUUACGGGGGGCCGCCACAGCCGUUGCAGCAUGUAGUUGAAUUACUAGCAGCGCCGAGAAUCCAUACUAAGUCUGACAGACCUCUGACGACUAGAAACUAGCUUGCGUCGGUACAGCAUUGACGUAGUGCAUGGUAUGCUCAGCU